Molecule: ribosomal RNA, 253 nt
Filed under: uncultured bacterium
Lineage: Bacteria
Description: partial 16S ribosomal RNA
Rfam family: Bacterial small subunit ribosomal RNA
Source: RNAcentral
UACGUAGGGUGCAAGCGUUGUCCGGAAUUAUUGGGCGUAAAGAGCUCGUAGGCGGUCUGUCGCGUCGGAUGUGAAAACCCAGGGCUCAACCCUGGGCCUGCAUUCGAUACGGGCAGACUAGAGUUCGGUAGGGGAGACUGGAAUUCCUGGUGUAGCGGUGAAAUGCGUAGAUAUCAGGAGGAACACCGGUGGCGAAGGCGGCUUUCUGGACACUAACUGACGCUGAGACGCGAAAGCGUGGGGAGCAAACAGG